Aquila chrysaetos chrysaetos is the source of this 198-nucleotide long non-coding RNA. RefSeq lists it as uncharacterized. The record is from RefSeq and is a predicted model, not a curated record. The transcript has 3 exons. NCBI's taxonomy places the organism in Eukaryota, Metazoa, Chordata, Aves, Accipitriformes, Accipitridae.
GGGAGCUUGGUGAGAAAGUUCAAACUGCAGAAGAUUAUCCUUUCACAAAUAAAUUCUUUUAACAGGCCCCUGUUGAAAAUGUUUUGAGCUGUUUCAAACACAUCUUCUAAAGAAAGCGAUAUGUCCAUAUACUUGAGAAGAGGCGAUUGACCUAUUUUGAAUGAGAAGAUGAAAGAGAAAACAAGUCCCUCUUAUAUU